RNAcentral lists this ribosomal RNA (450 nucleotides) under Triticum aestivum (bread wheat). RNAcentral describes it as "partial small subunit ribosomal RNA". The record is from RNAcentral. Lineage: Eukaryota; Viridiplantae; Streptophyta; Magnoliopsida; Poales; Poaceae.
AUGGGAAAAAGAUGCAAGGUCAGAUGUGGAUGGGGUUGUUGGCUUGUCCAUGAUGCUGGUGCUGAUGCGGACACCGUGGCUGUCGUUUCCUCUGCACACCGAUUGGCCAUCCCAGAGAACUCGUCGAAGAUAAUCCAUGCCAUCGUGUGGCAUCGAUCUCCAUCGUCCUCGUCCUAUAGGAGCGAGCUGGGAGCAAGCUCAAACAGUUUGUCGUGGACAGAGAAGAGUGAGACUAAUAAGAGGCAUAUAUCCGAUGACUACGGUGGGAUGAAGUCGGGAAGUCACUCGCAGACGUUAGGGAGAUUGUAUGCCUGGGAGAAGAAACUGUAUGAAGAAGUCAAGCUGAGGAACCAAGACGCCAAAGGUGCACAGCUGCACUGUGCUGAAAAAACCAGGACAAAUGACGGGGAGCUCAGUGUGAAGAACAAGACUCAGGGGUUGCAAGUUUGA